UACGAGAGCCUCGAGCGUUAUCCGGAAUUAUUGGGCGUAAAGGGUGCGUAGGUUGUUCUGUUAGUCUUUUAUUAAAGCCAGGGGCUUAACCUCUGAAUCGUAAGAGAAACGGCAGAACUAGAAAGUGCGAGGGGUGUACGGAACUCAUGGUGUAGGGGUGAAAUCCGUUGAUAUCAUGGGGAACACCAAAAGCGAAAGCAGUACACUGGCGCAUAUUUGACACUGAAGCACGAAAGCGUGGGUAGCGAAU
Molecule: ribosomal RNA, 250 nt
Filed under: uncultured bacterium
Lineage: Bacteria
Description: partial 16S ribosomal RNA
Rfam family: Bacterial small subunit ribosomal RNA
Source: RNAcentral